This 1366-nucleotide ribosomal RNA is filed under the name uncultured bacterium. Its description in RNAcentral is "bacterial SSU rRNA". It matches the Rfam family "Bacterial small subunit ribosomal RNA", at positions 28 to 1387 of the family's 1533-position model. The record is from RNAcentral.
GAUGAACGCUAGCUACAGGCUUAACACAUGCAAGUCGAGGGGCAGCAUGGUCUUAGCUUGCUAAGGCCGAUGGCGACCGGCGCACGGGUGAGUAACGCGUAUCCAACCUGCCUUACACUCUUGGACAGCCUUCUGAAAGGGAGAUUAAUACAAGAUGUUAUCAUGAGUAAGCAUUUUCGCAUGAUUAAAGGUUUACCGGUGUAAGAUGGGGAUGCGUUCCAUUAGAUAGUAGGCGGGGUAACGGCCCACCUAGUCUUCGAUGGAUAGGGGUUCUGAGAGGAAGGUCCCCCACAUUGGAACUGAGACACGGUCCAAACUCCUACGGGAGGCAGCAGUGAGGAAUAUUGGUCAAUGGACGAGAGUCUGAACCAGCCAAGUAGCGUGAAGGAUGAAGGUUCUAUGGAUUGUAAACUUCUUUUAUACGGGAAUAAACGGAUCCACGUGUGGAUUUUUGCAUGUACCGUAUGAAUAAGGAUCGGCUAACUCCGUGCCAGCAGCCGCGGUAAUACGGAGGAUCCGAGCGUUAUCCGGAUUUAUUGGGUUUAAAGGGAGCGUAGAUGGGUUGUUAAGUCAGUUGUGAAAGUUUGCGGCUCAACCGUAAAAUUGCAAUUGAUACUGGCAGUCUUGAGUACAGUUGAGGUAGGCGGAAUUCGUGGUGUAGCGGUGAAAUGCUUAGAUAUCACGAAGAACUCCGAUUGCGAAGGCAGCUUACUAACCUGUAACUGACAUUGAUGCUCGAAAGUGUGGGUAUCAAACAGGAUUAGAUACCCUGGUAGUCCACACGGUAAACGAAGAAUACUCGCUGUAGGCGAUAUACAGUCUGCGGCCAAGCGAAAGCAUUAAGUAUUCCACCUGGGGAGUACGCCGGCAACGGUGAAACUCAAAGGAAUUGACGGGGGCCCGCACAAGCGGAGGAACAUGUGGUUUAAUUUGAUGAUACGCGAGGAACCUUACCCGGGCGUAAAUUGCAACCGAAUAUGGCGGAAACGCUAUAGCUAGCAAUAGCGGUUGUGAAGGUGCUGCAUGGUUGUCGUCAGCUCGUGCCGUGAGGUGUCGGCUUAAGUGCCAUAACGAGCGCAACCCUCGCCGAUAGUUAUUAACAGGUCAUGCUGAGGACUCUGUCGGGACUGCCAUCGUAAGAUGUGAGGAAGGUGGGGAGGACGUCAAAUCAGCACGGCCCUUACGUCCGGGGCUACACACGUGUUACAAUGGGGGGUACAGAGGGCUGGUACCACGCAAGUGGAUGCCAAUCCCAAAAACCUCUCUCAGUUCGGAUUGAAGUCUGCAACCCGACUUCAUGAAGCUGGAUUCGCUAGUAAUCGCGCAUCAGCCACGGCGCGGUGAAUAAAAUGCCGGGCCUUGCACU